RNAcentral lists this ribosomal RNA (483 nucleotides) under uncultured bacterium. RNAcentral describes it as "bacterial SSU rRNA". It matches the Rfam family "Bacterial small subunit ribosomal RNA", at positions 26 to 518 of the family's 1533-position model. The record is from RNAcentral.
AGGACGAACGCUGGCGGCGUGCUUAACACAUGCAAGUCGAACGAUGACGAUGGUGCUUACACCGUCUGAUUAGUGGCGAACGGGUGAGUAACACGUGAGUAACCUGCCCUCCUCUUCGGGAUAACCGCCGGAAACGGUGGCUAAUACCGGAUAUGAAUGCCUGCCGCAUGGUGGGUGUUGGAAAGAUUUAUCGGUGGGGGAUGGACUCGCGGCCUAUCAGUUUGUUGGUGAGGUAAUGGCUCACCAAGGCGAUGACGGGUAGCCGGCCUGAGAGGGCGACCGGCCACACUGGGACUGAGACACGGCCCAGACUCCUACGGGAGGCAGCAGUGGGGAAUAUUGCACAAUGGGCGAAAGCCUGGGUUGCAGCGACGCCGCGUGGGGGAUGACGGCCUUCGGGUUGUAAACCUCUUUCAGUAGGGAAGAAGCGAGAGUGACGGUACCUGCAGAAGAAGCGCCGGCUAACUACGUGCCAGCCGCAGC